UUUAUAUAAAUAUAUUUUCUAAACUAUUUCUAAUAUAUGAGUGUUUUAAAACUUUUAACACAAUAAUAAGUACAUAGUUUGAUGGACGUUUUUUUGACAUAUAUAAAUAAUUUGAUGUUCUAUUUAACUAUUUAAAAUCAUAAAUAAUAACUUAACUUGUGAUUGAGUUCAAAACAAUUUUUUUUGCUUUUACUUCAAACCAGUUUAAGUUUAAUCUGUGAAACACUAUAGUUUCAGUUGGUGACCACUAGAAGAAUGACAAAAAAUGAACAAAAUAAAAAAUAAAAUUUCAUUUGAGGAAUUGAAAAAAAAAAAAAAUAUGAAUUAUGUUCAAUUUGUUCCUUAUCAAAAUUGCAUAGGGAAAUUUUUUCUUAUAAAUUCAUUCCUCCACGGGGAAUUUAGAAGAAAAAAGUGGGAUCUACCUUUCAAUAAUUUGAAUAAAAUUUCAGCAUAUCUCGUAUAAAUUUUGAGGAACAAAAAAUUCACCAUAAUUUUUUUCCUUCAACAUGUUCACCAAUUAGAGUUUUAUAAUGCUGAUUUUUGGAUUAAUAAAAUAUAAAAUAAUAAGUAUUCAUAAGAUGAUUAUGCCCGUAUGUGCGGACAAAACACCUAGUACAUACAUAUGUACAAUAAUCUAUAAAAGAAACUAUCAAAGAUAAAUAUAAACAUUUAACAUAACCUUUUUUUGUGUGUUCAUAUUUAAAAUUGCAGAAAGAAAUAGAACUGAUACAAAGCCCCUUGGACUUUAGUGUAUUUAGAGCCUAGCCCAUUAAGUUUAUAGUUAAACACAUAGUAAAGAACUAUCAAUUACCCAAGUAAAGCCCAUGAGUUGGUAAAGGAGAUGAUGACGAUGAUUACGAGAGACGGAGAGUCGGGGAGACGAUCAUCGUCCGUCAGUUGAGAACCACAACUGCAUCAAGAGAGAAGAUUAGCGAGGCAAUGAUUCCCCGAGACUUUGAAUCUUGUUCCUAAUCAGUCUGUCCAGGAGGGUGAGGAUAGCGUCAGUCGAUCGGUACACCUGCUGAUGGAUACGCAUGUUUCGCUCUUUCCAAAUAGAGUAGAUCGUUGCUUGCCACACUAGAAGGAGUAGUUUACGCUUGUUCCUGCUGCCUUGAAAGAGUUGCAGCUGGUUGACAGUUUCUUCCCAUCUCGGCCUUGCGUGGUGUCCGCAUCGCAACGCCAUCCGAUUCCAGAUUUGGAAGCUAAACGGACAUUCAAAGAAGAGGUGAUCGCGAGCGUCUUGGCCAGAGUUACAUAACACACAAAGUGUAUCAACCUGGAGUCCCCAGCUUACUAGUCUGUCCUUUGUGGGACAUCUGUUGAGCAUGACUAGCCAAGUGAGGAAGUUGUGGCGGGGGAUCCCGUGUAGGAGCACCAGACAAUCUUCGACCAAAGCUUGGUAGUAACAUCUCUUAAGUAUAAACUGAACCACAGGUGGCAGUGACCAAUGACCAUUGUUGUGGAGCGAUGCUAUUGUAGCAGUUUCGGGGAUCCCUAGUCUCGUCGUGUUGCCUUGUAGGAAGGAGUUCAGGCAGCCAAAAGGCGACCAAUUGUCAUACCAGAAGCUAGUCGAGAGCCCAUUACCUAACCUUCGCUUGAUAAGAGGGUAGCAGAGGUCUCUAGUCUUUAUCAGCUUCUUCACCAGCCAUGAAUGAGUAGAGCUGGGCUUAAUUUUCCAUAACUACACAUUUGGUUUUAGAGGAAUUAACCGGAUUGAUUGAUUAAA
Long non-coding RNA from Brassica napus (rape), 1726 nucleotides. RefSeq lists it as uncharacterized. The transcript is spliced from 2 exons. Lineage: Eukaryota; Viridiplantae; Streptophyta; Magnoliopsida; Brassicales; Brassicaceae. The record is from RefSeq and is a predicted model, not a curated record.